GUGCUCACUUCGGCAGUACAUACUAAAAUUGGACCGUUACAGAGGAUGCCCAAGGAUGACACACAAAUUCGUGAAGUGUUACAUUUUUUU
This is a small nuclear RNA of Dipodomys ordii (Ord's kangaroo rat), 90 nucleotides long. NCBI's taxonomy places the organism in Eukaryota, Metazoa, Chordata, Mammalia, Rodentia, Heteromyidae. The record is from Ensembl.